Molecule: unclassified non-coding RNA, 455 nt
Filed under: uncultured Suillus
Lineage: Eukaryota; Fungi; Basidiomycota; Agaricomycetes; Boletales; Suillaceae
Description: sequence contains ITS2
Rfam family: 5.8S ribosomal RNA (bases 1-155)
Source: RNAcentral
AACUUUUGACAACGGAUCACUUGGCUCUCGCAUCGAUGAAGAACGCAGCGAGUCGCGAUAUGUAAUGUGAAUUGCAGAUCUACAGUGAAUCAUCGAAUCGUUGAACGCACCUUGCGCUCCUCGGUGUUCCGAGGAGCAUGCCUGUUUGAGCGUCAGUAAGUUCUCAACCCCUCUCGAUUUGCUUCGAUAGGGUGCUUGGAUACUGGGGGCUGCCGGAGACCUGGACUUUUCGUCUAGGACUCGGGCUCUCCUGAAAUGAAUCGGCUUGCGGUCGACUUUCGACUUUGCACGACAAGGCUUUUGGCGUGAUAAUGAUCGCCGUUCGCUGAAGUGCAUGAAUGAACCGUCCCGUGCCUCUAACCCGUCGACGCCUUACGGCGUCUUCCUUAUUGACUUUUGACCUCAAAUCAGGUAGGACUACCCGCUGAACUUAAGCAUAUCAAUAAGCGGAGGCU